Molecule: ribosomal RNA, 253 nt
Filed under: uncultured bacterium
Lineage: Bacteria
Description: partial 16S ribosomal RNA
Rfam family: Bacterial small subunit ribosomal RNA
Source: RNAcentral
UACGUAGGGUGCAAGCGUUAAUCGGAAUUACUGGGCGUAAAGCGUGUGCAGGCGGCCUGUCAAGUGGUGUAUGAAAUAUCCAGGCUCAACCUGGAGGGGUUAUGCCAGACUGGCAGGCUAGAGUGCGAGAGAGGGGCGUGGAAUUCCGGGUGUAGUGGUGAAAUGCGUAGAGAUCCGGAGGAACCCCAGAGGCGAAGGCGGCGCCCUGGCUCGCCACUGACGCUCAGACACGACAGCAUGGGGAGCGAACGGG